UACGGGGGAUGCAAGCGUUAUCCGGAUUUAUUGGGUUUAAAGGGUGCGUAGGCUGUGAGGUAAGUCAGCGGUGAAAUGCCCCCGCUCAACGGGGUGAAGUGCCAUUGAUACUGCCUUGCUGGAAUGCGGACGCCGUGGGAGGAAUGUGUGGUGUAGCGGUGAAAUGCAUAGAUAUCACACAGAACACCGAUUGCGAAGGCAUCUCACGAAUCCGCGAUUGACACUGAUGCACGAAAGCGUGGGUAUCAAACAGG
RNAcentral lists this ribosomal RNA (254 nucleotides) under uncultured bacterium. RNAcentral's name for it is "partial 16S ribosomal RNA". It matches the Rfam family "Bacterial small subunit ribosomal RNA", at positions 524 to 776 of the family's 1533-position model. The record is from RNAcentral.